UAGUAGGUCUGGCCUGCCCAGUGAUAAAAUUUAACGGCCGCGGUAUAUUGACCGUGCAAAGGUAGCAUAAUCAUUAGUCUUUUAAUAGAAGGCUGGAAUGAAAGGUUUAACGAGAAAUUAACUGUCUCAAUUACAAACUUGAAUUUAUCUUUUGAGUCAAAAGACUUAAAUAUCAUUGUGGGACGAGAAGACCCUAUAGAGCUUAACAAUCUUUUUUUUAUAUUUAUUUAGUUAAAUUAUUUAUAUAUAUAUUGAAAAAAUUGUUUUGUUGGGGUGACAAUAAAUAUAUAUUUAACUUUUAUCAUAAUAUAAACAUUAAUUUAUGAUUUUUGGAUCCAAAAAUUUUGAUCAAUAGAUUAAGUUACCUUAGGGAUAACAGCGUAAUCUUCCCUCAGAGUUCAUAUUUACGGGAAGGCUUGCGACCUCG
This 427-nucleotide ribosomal RNA is filed under the name Ischnura denticollis. RNAcentral describes it as "partial 16S ribosomal RNA". It matches the Rfam family "Bacterial large subunit ribosomal RNA", at positions 1846 to 2528 of the family's 2925-position model. Lineage: Eukaryota; Metazoa; Arthropoda; Insecta; Odonata; Coenagrionidae. The record is from RNAcentral.